AUGCUGUCCAGUCCGGGAAAGCAAGUGAUUACCAAUUUGACCCUUAGUCCCAGUGUUAUAUUUGGUUAUUUACUAAAAUCUCCUUUUGGUGGAGAAGGGUGGAUUGUUAGUGUAGAUGAUUUAGAAGAUAUAAUUGGUGGGCAUGUAUGGUUGGGUUUUAUUUGUGUAUUUGGCGGAAUUUGGCAUCUUCUGCAUCAUCCAGCAAGGCUCGGAAGUCUGAGCUAUUAA
Molecule: ribosomal RNA, 228 nt
Filed under: Triticum aestivum (bread wheat)
Lineage: Eukaryota; Viridiplantae; Streptophyta; Magnoliopsida; Poales; Poaceae
Description: partial small subunit ribosomal RNA
Source: RNAcentral